UCCGUAGGCGGGCAGCUCAGUCAGUGGUGAAAGUUUGCAGCUCAACUGUAAAAUUGCCAUUGAUACUGGUUGUCUUGAAUUAAUGUGAAGUGGUUAGGAUAUGUAGUGUAGCGGUGAAAUGCAUAGAUAUUACAUAGAAUACCAAUUGCGAAGGCAGAUCACUAACAUUAUAUUGACGCUGAUGGACGAAAGCGUGGGGAGCGAACAGGAUUAGAUACCCUGGUAGUC
This 228-nucleotide ribosomal RNA is filed under the name uncultured bacterium. Its description in RNAcentral is "partial 16S ribosomal RNA". It matches the Rfam family "Bacterial small subunit ribosomal RNA", at positions 568 to 795 of the family's 1533-position model. The record is from RNAcentral.